UGGGGCAUCGUCUAAUGGCAGGACGACGGUCUCUGACACCGUUAAUCAAGGUUCGAGUCCUUGUGCCCCAGCCA
This 74-nucleotide transfer RNA is filed under the name Deinococcus phoenicis. RNAcentral's name for it is "tRNA-Gln". It matches the Rfam family "tRNA". From Rfam's summary of the family: Transfer RNA (tRNA) molecules are approximately 80 nucleotides in length. Their secondary structure includes four short double-helical elements and three loops (D, anti-codon, and T loops). Further hydrogen bonds mediate the characteristic L-shaped molecular structure. tRNAs have two regions of fundamental functional importance: the anti-codon, which is responsible for specific mRNA codon recognition, and the 3' end, to which the tRNAs corresponding amino acid is attached (by aminoacyl-tRNA synthetases). tRNAs cope with the degeneracy of the genetic code in two manners: having more than one tRNA (with a specific anti-codon) for a particular amino acid; and 'wobble' base-pairing, i.e. permitting non-standard base-pairing at the 3rd anti-codon position. RNAcentral also lists the same sequence under 1 other name. The record is from RNAcentral. Lineage: Bacteria; Thermotogati; Deinococcota; Deinococci; Deinococcales; Deinococcaceae.